AAUCACGGGCGCGAGCUGGUGGCGGCGCCGCUGCGGGAAGGUCGGCGGUGGGAAGGCGAUGGCAGAUAUAGAUAAACUCAACAUCAACAGCAUCAUCCAACGGCUGCUGGAAGUGAGAGGGUCCAAGCCUGGUAAGAAUGUCCAGCUACAGGAGAAUGAAAUCAGAGGACUGUGCUUAAAGUCCCGAGAGAUCUUUCUCAGUCAGCCUAUCCUGCUAGAACUUGAAGCACCACUCAAGAUAUGUGGUGAUAUCCAUGGGCAAUACUAUGAUUUGCUUCGACUUUUUGAGUAUGGUGGUUUCCCGCCAGAAAGCAAUUACCUGUUUCUUGGGGACUAUGUGGACAGGGGAAAACAAUCACUGGAGACUAUCUGCCUCUUGUUGGCUUACAAAAUCAAAUAUCCUGAGAAUUUUUUCUUCUCAGAGGUUAGAAACCACGAAUGUGCCAGCAUCGAUAGAAUUUAUGGAUUUUAUGAUGAAUGUAAAAGAAGAUAUAACAUUAAACUAUGGAAAACUUUCACAGACUGCUUUAACUGUUUACCAAUAGCAGCCAUCAUGGAUGAGAAAAUAUUCUGCUGUCAUGGAGGUUUAUCACCAGAUCUUCAAUCUAUGGAGCAGAUUCGGUGAAUUAUGCGACCAACUGAUGUACCAGAUCAAGGUCUUCUUUGUGAUCUUUUGUGGUCUGACCCCGAUAAAGAUGUCUUAGGCUGCGGUAAAAAUGACAGAGGAGUGUCCUUCACAUUUGGUGCAGAAGUGGUUGCAAAAUUUCUCCAUAAGCAUGAUUUGGAUCUUAUAUGUAGAGCCCACCAGGUGGUUGAAGAUGGAUAUGAAUGUUUUGCAAAGAGGCAGUUGGUCACUCUGUUUUCUGUGCCCAAUUAUUGUGGAGAGUUUGACAAUACAGGUGCCAUGAUGAGUGUGGACGCAACACUAAUGUGUUCUUUUCAGAUUGUAAAGCCUGCAGAGAAAAAGAAGCCGAAUGCCACAAGACCCGUCACACCUCCAAGGCAUAUGAUCACAAAGCAAGCAAAGAAAUAGAUGUCAUUUUGAUACUGCCUAGCUGGAACUUGUAACAUAUAGUACAUAACCUUCAUUUUUAAAACUAUAAUGUGCAUUGGUCAGCUUGCUCAAAUAGUAUUUGUGGGGCUCCCCAUUUCAUUUUUGACUUAAUGAAUGGUAUUUGCUGGUUAUAACAGCAAAUGAAAGAUUCUCCACUCCCAAGGAAAAAUGUUUUCAUUAGUUCCCUGUUUCUUUUACAAACAACAUUAAUGGUGUUAAAGCUGUACACUCAGGACAGUGUCCCCUGUCUAAGGGGUGAGUGUACAACUGAUCUUUUUAAAAUUCAGUACAGCCCAUAAAUAAUGUAAAUGCUCAUUUCCUUUAGGAUAUAAAGAAAGCCGUAGGGUGCUCAAUCUGUACAUGUUAUUGUCAUAAAAUGCAUACCAUUGGAUACAAACCACUGCGAACUUUUUUGUUUCAAAGUGAUUGCUUUUUUUUUUUCAUUGUCUUAUGUACAAACUAGUUUUUAUAGCUAUCAACAUUAGGAGUAACUUUCAACUUUGCCAGCAUCACUGGUAUGUAUAUUUAACUAAAGCACACUUUCCCCUACAGUAUACUUAAAAUGAUGAUUAAAACCAUUAUUUUAAAUGUUUGUGACUUUUUUCCUGAAGCCAAAGUUUCUGUUGAAAUAUAUACUGACACUCCCCUAAGUAAGUACAAGGUGGCAUGGUUGUGUACACCUGUCACCUUUAUGGGGAUUCAAAAACAGGUUUUUGAGUUUGAAUAGCAGUUAGUAACAUAGUGCUGUUUAAGCUAUUAAUAAUUAAAGUUAAUUACAUUUUGUAUGAUUUCCAUAUAGUCUAUUCAUUAAGUAAUCUUUUUACAGUUACAUCAGGCCUGAACCCAUCCAUUUAGAAAGCUUCAAAUUAUAGAAACAAUACUGUUCUAUACGAGUGACCGAUUAUGCAUUCUUUGGCCUACAUUCUUUAUUCUGCAAUGAAGUUGAGGCUUAUAAGUCAAAACAAAGGAACUAACUUACUAUCCACCAGUUUAUACAGAAUUCACAGUAUAUCACUUUUUUAAACUAAGACCUGUUAAAAAGAAAUCUGUUUCAACAGAUGACCAUGUACAAUACCAUGUGGUGAAAAUUAAUUAAGACUUAUUAAAUGAUGAACUUG
This is an RNA transcript of Capra hircus (goat), 2172 nucleotides long. It is a transcript of the gene named serine/threonine-protein phosphatase PP1-gamma catalytic subunit pseudogene, with no coding region annotated. The transcript has a single exon. NCBI's taxonomy places the organism in Eukaryota, Metazoa, Chordata, Mammalia, Artiodactyla, Bovidae. The record is from RefSeq and is a predicted model, not a curated record.